Molecule: long non-coding RNA, 1357 nt
Organism: Trifolium pratense (red clover)
Lineage: Eukaryota; Viridiplantae; Streptophyta; Magnoliopsida; Fabales; Fabaceae
Exons: 9
Source: RefSeq, a predicted model, not a curated record
AACAAAUUAACAAAAAAAAUCAAAUUAACCCUUUCUCGUAUUCCAGAAAUCUCGUCGCCGCUUACCCUUCUUCAUCUUCACCGCUUAAACCCAUAAAUCUUCUCUUCACCGUCAAACUUCACCUUCAUCAAACUCGAACCCUUCAUCUUCAUCUUCUUCACUGCUCAAACCCUCCAAUUGUAUGAUUCUUUGUGCUUUCUGACAGAUUUAACUCCAAUAGGAGAAAUAGGUUAUCAUUUUAACUUUUAUUUCUCACUUUUUAAGCUUACAUUUCAAACUUCAGAGAAACUAAGGUUUCUGAACAAUCCUUACUCACAAGUAUUUUCUCUCUCUACUGAAGAGCAAUUGAAGAGCACUAAUAAACUAUAGGCAGUUUAGAAUUCAAGGAUUAGAGACAACCAUGUUAAGAAAAACUUCUAUCAGAAAGCAGGAAGACCUGCUUGAGCUUUUGACUUGCAGCGCUCCGGUAAUAAUGUUAUGGAUAAGCUUGUGGAUUUUGUCCACUAUUUGCAUUUGGAGAUAAAUCAGGCUUUUGGCAGUGCAGGUUUCAAGUGAAGAAGUUGUGCCUUGAAAGAAGGUUUACUGGUCAUUUUCAAGCAUGGUUUAUCUAUUCAUGGAUUCCAAAUGUCAUUGUUGCUAAGAAGUAAGAAAACAGAAAAUCCAUCUCAAGCAUGAAAGAAGCAAUUGUUGAUGAUAGAUUUGAGGUUUUGUAAUUGUUGAUAGUGGCAUGUGUUAAAAGACAAGGCUUGGUUAGGCUUUACAAGCUGCUUAUAAAGCUGAUUGGUAUGUUCUCUAUAUAGUGUGCAAUAUGUCACAAUCUACGGAAGUUGUUCAUGAGUGUUGGAAGAACUUCACAUGUCUAUAUAACUGGUUUAUAUAGAAUUGAAAGAGUUUGCAACUCUGCAUCAAUAUACUUUGUUGGAACUAAAGUUUUACAUUGACAAAAGUAUUUACUGACUAGACGUUCACAUUUGAUCAUAUUCAAUUUUAGAGCCAAAAGCAACAAAUAGUUAUGAGUGCGGCUAUUAUGUCAUGAUACACAUGUUGAACAUUGUAUCUACUCGUGUUGUUGGUUCAUGGAACCAAGUAUGGUUACAAUUUUAAUGAUAUGCAGUUAACCCAACACAUUAAGAAGGGAUAUGAAGUUUUUUCAAGACUUAGAAUAAUUCAUUAUUGUAUUGGUUCUCUCUGUGUUAGAAUUGUAAUUAUUUUGUAAUUAGUUACUUAUUUCUUCAUGAGUGAUAUUAUCCCUUAAUUUAGUUUGUAAAUUUGUUCUUAUGUAAUUUAAAUUGGGGAAAUAAAUUACUCUCAUUUGGAUAUUUGGUUGGCAAAUAUAAAGCUACCGUAUUUUUUAUUA